This 508-nucleotide ribosomal RNA is filed under the name Blautia sp. An46. Its description in RNAcentral is "bacterial SSU rRNA". It matches the Rfam family "Bacterial small subunit ribosomal RNA", at positions 1032 to 1533 of the family's 1533-position model. Lineage: Bacteria; Bacillati; Bacillota; Clostridia; Lachnospirales; Lachnospiraceae. The record is from RNAcentral.
AGACAGGUGGUGCAUGGUUGUCGUCAGCUCGUGUCGUGAGAUGUUGGGUUAAGUCCCGCAACGAGCGCAACCCCUGUCCUUAGUAGCCAGCAGUAAGAUGGGCACUCUAGGGAGACAGCCGGGGAUAACCCGGAGGAAGGCGGGGACGACGUCAAAUCAUCAUGCCCCUUAUGAUUUGGGCUACACACGUGCUACAAUGGCGUAAACAAAGGGAAGCGAGCCUGCGAGGGGGAGCGAAUCCCAAAAAUAACGUCCCAGUUCGGACUGCAGUCUGCAACUCGACUGCACGAAGCUGGAAUCGCUAGUAAUCGCGGAUCAGAAUGCCGCGGUGAAUACGUUCCCGGGUCUUGUACACACCGCCCGUCACACCAUGGGAGUCAGUAACGCCCGAAGUCAGUGACCCAACCGAAAGGAAGGAGCUGCCGAAGGCGGGACGGAUGACUGGGGUGAAGUCGUAACAAGGUAGCCGUAUCGGAAGGUGCGGCUGGAUCACCUCCUUUCUAAGGAA